UCCACUUCAAUAGAUACUUGUGAGGCCCUGCCCUGCCGGGUGCUGUGUUAAGGCCCUUGUGUCCAUUGGAGCAUUUAUUCUGCCCACAUGUCUCAGCUGCUGAUGAGCUGGCUGAGCAGGAAGGUCUCCUUGUGAUGGGCCUUGGCUGGUGGCUCCCAGACUGGGUCUCAGCAGCCGACAGGACGUGGCUGCUGUUCUGUGACACUGCCCACUGCCUGGCCCCCGAACCCAGCGUGGGGGAGUGGUGAGAUCCCAGUCCUAGAGCGGAUGGUACGUCUGUGAACGACUUCCAGUGGCCUUUGUGGGAGCGGUCAGUGAGACUUCCUAAAUGAGAUGCUUCCAAGCUGAAUCCGGCAGCAACAGGAGGAGGAAUGAAGAAGAAAUAACCAAACAGACUGGAGACCGAAGCCAGGUACAAUCAGUGGGUGCUGUGCAGAAGAUUCCAUGAACUGCUAGGUGCUCAGCCGCCACCACUGUGGACAAGACCAGCCUGCCCGGCCAUCCUGGGGACUUCUGUCUUCAGCAAAAGAUAAGGGAAUCUUUUUAGACAGUUUGACCCUAAGAGCCCAGGGUUUUUGUUUGGGAUGCUGUCUUUGUUUUUGAAUUUUAAUAUUGUCUCACCCACCACCAAUAGACCCUCCAGCCUUGCUCCACCCUCCACCCUCUUCCCCUCAGGUGACUCUCUUCUGCUGUCCACGUCCACCAGCUUAUUUUUCAUCUGUCUUGUUUCCUUAGAUUGCACAUAAAAAUCAUCCAAUAUUUGUCUUUCUCUGAGUCACAUGGCUUUGCAUAAUCUCCACAUUCCUUUCAUUUUACUGCAAAUGACAAAAUAUUAUCUUUUGGAAAUAGCUGAAUGGUAUUCCAUAGUGUGUAUACACCACAUCUUCUUUAUCCUGUCAUCUAUCAAUGGGCAUUUAGGAUGUUUCCAUGCCUUAACUCUGUGAACAGUGUUGCAAUAGACAUUGUGGUCUGUAUAACUCUUAGAGGUAAUAAUUUCAUAUUUUUGGUAUUAGAUACCCAGAAGUGGAAUUUCUGGGUUUGUGAUAGUUCUAUUUUUAGUUUUUUGAGGAAGUUUCAUGCUGUUUUCCAAAAUGGUUGCACCCAUUUACAUUCCCACUGACCGUAUAGGAAGGUUCCUUUUUCUCUACACUCUUGCCAAAUUGUUGUUACCCGUCUUUUUGAUGUAAACUAUUUUCACAGGUGUGAGAUGAUAUCUCACUGUGGUUUAGAUUUGCAUUUCUCUAAUAAUAAGUGAUGAUGAACAUUCUUUCAUGUGCCACAUCUGUAUGUCCUCUUUGAAAAAGUGUCUAUUCAGAUCUUCUGCUAUUUUUUAGUUGGGUUGUAUGUUUCUUUGUUGUUGCAUUGCAUGAGUUCUCUAUGUAUUUUAGUUAGAUAUUAACCCCUUAUUGGAUGUAUGAUGUGUAAAUAUUUUUUCCCACUCACUAGGCUCUUUUUAUUCUGCUGAUAUUUUC
Talpa occidentalis (Iberian mole) is the source of this 1472-nucleotide long non-coding RNA. RefSeq lists it as uncharacterized. The transcript has 4 exons. Lineage: Eukaryota; Metazoa; Chordata; Mammalia; Eulipotyphla; Talpidae. The record is from RefSeq and is a predicted model, not a curated record.